GGGGGCUAACUGCAGUCGAGCGAACUGAUUAGAAGCUUGCUUCUAUGACGUGUAUCGGGCGGACGCGGUGAGUAACACGAUGGGUAACCUGCCUGUAAGACAGGGAUAACUUCGGGAAACCGAAGCUAAUACCGGAUAGGAUCCUCUCCUUCAUGGGAGAUGAUUGUUAAAUGGUUUCGGCAUAUCACUUACAGAUGGGCCCGGGGUGCACUAGCUAACUCGGUAGGUAACGGCUCCCCUGAGCAUCGUUUCUUAGACGACCUGUUGAGGUUAUC
This 275-nucleotide ribosomal RNA is filed under the name Bacillus sp. L2/A1. RNAcentral's name for it is "partial 16S ribosomal RNA". It matches the Rfam family "Bacterial small subunit ribosomal RNA", at positions 60 to 305 of the family's 1533-position model. The record is from RNAcentral. Lineage: Bacteria; Bacillati; Bacillota; Bacilli; Caryophanales; Bacillaceae.